GACGGAGGAUGCAAGUGUUAUCCGGAAUCACUGGGCGUAAAGCGUCUGUAGGUGGUUUAAAAAGUCUACUGUUAAAGAUUAAAGCUUAACUUCAAAAAUGCCGUAGAAACUUUUAAACUCGAGUAUGGUAGGGGUAGAGGGAAUUUCCAGUGGAGCGGUGAAAUGCGUAGAUAUUGGAAAGACCACCAAUGGCGAAGGCACUCUACUGGGCCAUUACUGACACUGAGAGACGAAAGCUAGGGGAGCAAAUGGG
RNAcentral lists this ribosomal RNA (253 nucleotides) under uncultured bacterium. RNAcentral describes it as "partial 16S ribosomal RNA". It matches the Rfam family "Bacterial small subunit ribosomal RNA", at positions 524 to 776 of the family's 1533-position model. The record is from RNAcentral.